Molecule: non-coding RNA, 23 nt
Filed under: Cricetulus griseus (Chinese hamster)
Lineage: Eukaryota; Metazoa; Chordata; Mammalia; Rodentia; Cricetidae
Source: RNAcentral
GUUAGGUUUAGUUGGACUAUGCU